CAAACUGGAGAUGGCGACCGGCGCACGGGUGAGUAACACGUAUCCAACCUGCCGAUAACUCGGGGAUAGCCUUUCGAAAGAAAGAUUAAUACCCGAUGGCAUAAUAGAACCGCAUGGUUUGAUUAUUAAAGAAUUUCGGUUAUCGAUGGGGAUGCGUUCCAUUAGGCAGUUGGUGGGGUAACGGCCCACCAAACCUUCGAUGGAUAGGGGUUCUGAGAGGAAGGUCCCCCACAUUGGAACUGAGACACGGUCCAAACUCCUACGGGGAGGCAGCAUG
This 277-nucleotide ribosomal RNA is filed under the name uncultured bacterium. RNAcentral's name for it is "partial 16S ribosomal RNA". It matches the Rfam family "Bacterial small subunit ribosomal RNA", at positions 77 to 353 of the family's 1533-position model. The record is from RNAcentral.